Molecule: ribosomal RNA, 253 nt
Filed under: uncultured bacterium
Lineage: Bacteria
Description: partial 16S ribosomal RNA
Rfam family: Bacterial small subunit ribosomal RNA
Source: RNAcentral
UACGUAGGGGGCGAGCGUUGUCCGGAUUUAUUGGGCGUAAAGAGCGUGUAGGCGGUUCGGUAAGUCUGUCGUGAAAUCCUGAGGCUCAACCUCGGACGUGCGAUGGAUACUGCCGGGCUAGAGGAUGGUAGAGGCGAGUGGAAUUCCCGGUGUAGCGGUGAAAUGCGUAGAUAUCGGAAGGAACACCAGUGGCGAAAGCGACUUCCUGGUCGAAUACUGACGUUCAUGUGCGAAAGCGUGGGGAGCAAACAGG